This 1645-nucleotide long non-coding RNA is filed under the name Gossypium barbadense (sea-island cotton). RNAcentral describes it as "long non-coding RNA (GBAR_LNC023404)". The record is from RNAcentral. Lineage: Eukaryota; Viridiplantae; Streptophyta; Magnoliopsida; Malvales; Malvaceae.
CCUUCACCUCAUCUGUUAAAAAAUGCCAAAGAAAUUCAUGACUAGCUUCUAUUUAAUAAUGGGCUCUCUCUUUGACACUUUCGUUGUGGAUUAAUUGUAUGAAAAUUUAAAAUAUCAAAUUUAUUUGAAUGAUGUUACAUAUUACAGAAGUUGUAUACUUAGUAUAUCAAUUUUAAAUUAUUUAUUUAUUUAUUUGAAUUUAGGUUUUUAUUUACAUCAAAGUAUACAAGUCAAGCAUACAUAGUCCAUCCAUUCAAGAUUAAAGUAUAUCACACUAUGAAUGUCACAAAUGAAUAAAUCCACAAACGAAUUUAAAAUCUAUUUUACUUGGGUCAUGUGUGAUAAUUGUUAAUCCAGUCAGUCAUAUCUAUGUCACUUAUCUUCUAGGAGUCAUCCACUUUGAUGCUCAAAAGAAAACAUCUCUCCAAUUGGACUUGAUAGGCAACAUAUUAGUCUUUCAAUCGAUUUGCUCAUUUUCGAUUGGACUAAAGACAUGUUUAGGUUCAUUUACUAAUAUAAGUCGUCUUUCUGUAUUAUGAUCCAACCACGUAAUACCUCUUAAUAUUAGUUUUUUUUAGUUAAUCGUCAGUUGGAUUCCAGUUAAUGAGGAAACACCAGGUACCUUAUAUUUUGAGAACAAAAUAGAAAAUCAAAUUAAAGAAACACCAACUGUUAACUUUUUCACAACAGUAAGGGAGUCCCCUCCUAUUGUCACCUCUCUACUCCUCAGAUUCAGGUCUAUCUGCAUUGCCUAUAUGCAUGCGAGCACCUCCGCUGCGAAAGCGGAUUCAAUAUGUCUAUUGAUGAUGGUUUUCGAUUCUACCACAUUCCCUUCGGUCAUUCAACUCACAUUCUGGAACAGAACAUCUUCAUGUGUUUCUGAUAAGUGGCAUCAAGAUUUAUUUUAACCCGGGGUGCUAUCAAUGAACUCUAUCUUUCCAACAUGGCAUGUCUAUGAUACAGUCUAUCAUUUACUUGGGAAAUUAAUUGAGAUGUUUCUUUUGAAAAAUAGAAAAAUAAAUAUUAGGUUGGGUUGAAUUAUAAAGUAUUAGGUUAGAAGUCUAGAAAAUACUUUUAAUUGGAUUUGAUAUGAGAAAGACUCAAAAGCCCCUCAUAUUAAAAGAGAGGGACGAUAAACCCUAGUAUUAUUAACUAAGGUUGUCACCCCCUAUACUCCUAGUUAGACUAGGAAUUCAUUUUUUAUUUGAAAUAAACUUCUACAGUUCAACAAAGGUUUUACUUCUUCUCCCUAUAAAUAGAUGGCACCAAUAGAGCAAAAUACACAACUUUAAGUUAUUGUUAUUCUACCCGAAAAUAGUGAGAGUUUAUUCGCUAAGAAUUAAAUAUAUUUUUUGAAAUAACAAUUUUAUUGGUUUCUAUUGAGAAGAAAAUUUUGUUUUCAAACUAAAAGUAAAGAAAAUUAUUUCUAGUUUUGUUCUUGGUUUGAAUUGUUCGAGCCCACAUUCAAAGCAGUUUGUGUUACAAGAACAGUGGAGAAGGUCGUUCGGUUGAAAGCCAAGAACGAGAAGGAUCCAUCUAGACUAUGUGCAAUUUUGGUAAAUGGUUUCUUGCUGUAAAUAUAACAAACUGGCUCAAUUUUCAAAAAUUUUAUUUUUUGAUGAGCAAGAAAAUUAUUUUUAAACCG